CGGUGUGGCAAUUACAUGCCGAUGCAAGCAACAUGGACGAUGAUGUGCUCUAACACGGGAAGGGCAGGCUCAAGAUCUUCCCGGCGACAGUCAGGUGACCCAUCCUCUUUCCAUCUUCCCCCAGAUAUGGCUAGGUCUCCCGUCUUCUAUUUUAGCUUUCAGUUCAGUCCAUACAGCAUACAGGUUAUAGAGCAUGUGCAGAGUCUACACCGGAACGAUUUUCUGUAAGCUACAUAAAUGGAGUAGUAAUACCAACCAGUAGAUUAGCAGUAGGUGCAUAUAUGGGGUAGUAAUACCUACCACUGAUCUUUUUUAGGUACGUAAUAAUCUGCACAAAUUCAGUGCAAAAUAACUUGCAGAAUAAACUAGAGAUAGAGACAACUGGUGCAGAGCUUUCUAUUGCCAUGAACAUGUGAGUGCUCAAUUCUACCACAACAUUGGCUAGCCAGCCAUGAACAAUUAAAGUAAUGAGUGUUAUGUUCUAUUACUAUGUACUUAUUCCAAUUAUAGUUCAUGUCAGGAGUUGAAAAUUUAGAGGAACUUGUAUGUAUGCUUGAGUUAUUCCGUGGUGAAAGCGAAGGAAAAGAGAAAUGCGUCAGCAUUUCCAGCUGAUGCCUAAUAGUUUGUUCGGAAAAUGUAGUUUGUGAUAUAAGAAUUCUGACGUGCUUUGCUUUAUAUUGGCAGUAUUGUUUGUUAGUCCGACACAUUAUUUAGAGAACUUUGCAACUUGCUAUUUGUAGGCUAAUUUGCUGUCUCCGUGUGCAAUAGAAAUUCAAGCACACUGCAUUGCUCUGGUGGAGUGUUUAACUCUUUGUGGGCUGAGAUUUCAACCAUACAUGUAUUUCAAGGAAUGGAAGCAAACGUAGUUAUCAUUUAAUUCCAUGACAGUGAAGACACAAUUCUAGCGGGCAAAGGAUCGUAGAUACUCAAUUCCAAGACACAAUGAUGUUUCUUUUGAUACUCAUUCAUAACCGAAUUAAUCAUGUUAUGCUUAGGAAGAGGUCUAUGCAUCAUCGAUGGGUGUCUUUGUCGGUUUCUUCUUUUCAGCUGAUGACCUAUUCUUUCAAGGUGUAUAACUAACGAUCAACCUAUUCUUUCAAGGUGUAUAACUAGCAAUCAACGGAUGUUUAUUGUUCUGAAGAAUCUUCCUCCGUACAUGUGGACUCUACAAUUACAGAGCAGUUUUUAUCUCCUUAUUAUGCUUUAUAAUAUAUUGAUCAGGAGACAAGGUGUAUGGAUGACCCCUCAAUGUAUAUAUACAUGCGUUGUUUGUUCUCAGAAGUUAAUAAGGAUACCAAUGCCAUCGCAAUCAAAGUUUCUGAUGUCAAGGCAACUGAGGCUUCUGACUCGCUAGGCACUAUCUGUUUUGAUAGUGGGCUGGAUUGACAUGGGAAACUAGAGCUCAUCCAAUUGACACCUGAAUAUGAAUAGGUACGUCCAUGGCUAACAGGCCUACCUUGCAUCCUAAAUUCAGCACCAGUGAACGAGUAUGUUCUAGGUCCUUUUGGGCUGGUUAAGACACAUGAUACAGAUACGAAAGACAGCAACACAAACCUUGGCAAGGCUAUAAGGACCUACAGAUAUACCGUGUGGUGCUCUAGCAUAGAUGUGAUACCAGCUGGGUUGCUAAUCAAGGUGUCACCGUUGUGACUGACACAUUUGACUCAGGUAUCAACGGAAGG
Lolium perenne is the source of this 1682-nucleotide non-coding RNA. The record is from RefSeq and is a predicted model, not a curated record. NCBI's taxonomy places the organism in Eukaryota, Viridiplantae, Streptophyta, Magnoliopsida, Poales, Poaceae.